UUUUACAGUUGGAAUAACAAUAGUUGCAUCAUAAAAGUUUUCAUACAAAAAUUCUGUCAUGUAUUUUAAAAUAUAUCUAUAAUAUAUUAUUGUAUGCAUGUUAUAAAAUAAAAUAUAGGCCUAUAUACUACUAGUAUGUUUACAGCAUAGAUGUUUAUUGAAUUAACAAUUUUUACUUUUUGCAUGAUCUUUUCAAAAUAGCGAAUAACUAAGACAGUCAAAGGGUGCGUUCGUAUAAACGUAAGCAAUGAUCCUGAGUCAUGUAGAUAAUGAUUCAACCCGUUCAUUAAAAUGACCAUUGCCGUUCGAUUUAGCAUAGUCGCGACCCGAGUCACGACGACAAUGACUCAGUUCCAGAACAGGGUCGUUUUGUCACGUAAUCUAAUCACCCAAUCAGUACCACCGAUGAUAAUAUGUAUAAGUGUUUUUUAUAUUCACUAUGAUGAUUCCACGAGCUUAAACAAUUAUAUGUGUUUGGCAAAUAUAGUAUCUUUCACGGCCUUGAGUCAGGCCAAGCAUUUUAACCUGGUCGUUCCCUAAUUUAUUACGAACAUACUCAAAAUAGUAUUCUUUUGAUAUAAAUGCUUUUAAAAGCGAAUCUAAAUACUUAAACAUAACUAACUGUAAAUUUUGAAUGAAUUUUGGCUCGG
Molecule: long non-coding RNA, 650 nt
Filed under: Androctonus crassicauda
Lineage: Eukaryota; Metazoa; Arthropoda; Arachnida; Scorpiones; Buthidae
Source: RNAcentral